RNAcentral lists this ribosomal RNA (1355 nucleotides) under Staphylococcus aureus. Its description in RNAcentral is "partial 23S ribosomal RNA". It matches the Rfam family "Bacterial large subunit ribosomal RNA", at positions 204 to 1559 of the family's 2925-position model. The record is from RNAcentral. Lineage: Bacteria; Bacillati; Bacillota; Bacilli; Caryophanales; Staphylococcaceae.
UAGUACCCGGAGGAAGAGAAAGAAAAUUCGAUUCCCUUAGUAGCGGCGAGCGAAACGGGAAGAGCCCAAACCAACAAGCUUGCUUGUUGGGGUUGUAGGACACUCUAUACGGAGUUACAAAGGACGACAUUAGACGAAUCAUCUGGAAAGAUGAAUCAAAGAAGGUAAUAAUCCUGUAGUCGAAAAUGUUGUCUCUCUUGAGUGGAUCCUGAGUACGACGGAGCACGUGAAAUUCCGUCGGAAUCUGGGAGGACCAUCUCCUAAGGCUAAAUACUCUCUAGUGACCGAUAGUGAACCAGUACCGUGAGGGAAAGGUGAAAAGCACCCCGGAAGGGGAGUGAAAUAGAACCUGAAACCGUGUGCUUACAAGUAGUCAGAGCCCGUUAAUGGGUGAUGGCGUGCCUUUUGUAGAAUGAACCGGCGAGUUACGAUUUGAUGCAAGGUUAAGCAGUAAAUGUGGAGCCGUAGCGAAAGCGAGUCUGAAUAGGGCGUUUAGUAUUUGGUCGUAGACCCGAAACCAGGUGAUCUACCCUUGGUCAGGUUGAAGUUCAGGUAACACUGAAUGGAGGACCGAACCGACUUACGUUGAAAAGUGAGCGGAUGAACUGAGGGUAGCGGAGAAAUUCCAAUCGAACCUGGAGAUAGCUGGUUCUCUCCGAAAUAGCUUUAGGGCUAGCCUCAAGUGAUGAUUAUUGGAGGUAGAGCACUGUUUGGACGAGGGGCCCCUCUCGGGUUACCGAAUUCAGACAAACUCCGAAUGCCAAUUAAUUUAACUUGGGAGUCAGAACAUGGGUGAUAAGGUCCGUGUUCGAAAGGGAAACAGCCCAGACCACCAGCUAAGGUCCCAAAAUAUAUGUUAAGUGGAAAAGGAUGUGGCGUUGCCCAGACAACUAGGAUGUUGGCUUAGAAGCAGCCAUCAUUUAAAGAGUGCGUAAUAGCUCACUAGUCGAGUGACACUGCGCCGAAAAUGUACCGGGGCUAAACAUAUUACCGAAGCUGUGGAUUGUCCUUUGGACAAUGGUAGGAGAGCGUUCUAAGGGCGUUGAAGCAUGAUCGUAAGGACAUGUGGAGCGCUUAGAAGUGAGAAUGCCGGUGUGAGUAGCGAAAGACGGGUGAGAAUCCCGUCCACCGAUUGACUAAGGUUUCCAGAGGAAGGCUCGUCCGCUCUGGGUUAGUCGGGUCCUAAGCUGAGGCCGACAGGCGUAGGCGAUGGAUAACAGGUUGAUAUUCCUGUACCACCUAUAAUCGUUUUAAUCGAUGGGGGGACGCAGUAGGAUAGGCGAAGCGUGCGAUUGGAUUGCACGUCUAAGCAGUAAGGCUGAGUAUUAGGCAAAUCCGGUACUCGUUAAGGCUGA